This is a long non-coding RNA of Chelonia mydas (Green sea turtle), 164 nucleotides long. RefSeq lists it as uncharacterized. Lineage: Eukaryota; Metazoa; Chordata; Testudines; Cheloniidae. The record is from RefSeq and is a predicted model, not a curated record. The transcript is spliced from 3 exons.
GCCAAACUGCAAUCCGAGUGUAGGCAACAGAAAGCAAGCUGGAUUUCAGCCAGAACCCAGUCUCAUUCAGGCACCAGCCUCAUAGAUGUGUUGAACAGAAGGGGUUCUGUGUUGAACAGAUGGAAUUGCUGCAUAAGAAAGCUCUCAGGAUACCUGAACCACCG